AGCGCAGGCGGGAAACUAAGCGGAUCUUAAAAGUGCGGGGCUCAACCCCGUGAUGGGGUCCGAACUGGUUUUCUUUGAGUGCAGGAGAGGAAAGCGGAAUUCCCAGUGUAGCGGUGAAAUGCGUAGAUAUUGGGAAGAACACCAGUGGCGAAGGCGGCUUUCUGGACUGUAACUGACGCUGAGGCUCGAAAGCUAGGGUAGCGAAG
RNAcentral lists this ribosomal RNA (206 nucleotides) under uncultured bacterium. Its description in RNAcentral is "partial 16S ribosomal RNA". It matches the Rfam family "Bacterial small subunit ribosomal RNA", at positions 568 to 773 of the family's 1533-position model. The record is from RNAcentral.